UGAGGAAUCUUGCGCAAUGGGGGAAACCCUGACGCAGCAACGCCGCGUGAGUGAGGAAGGCCUUCGGGUCGUAAAGCUCUGUCAGAUGGGAAGAAAUGGGUGGGGGCUACUAUCGUCCAUCCUUGACGGUAACAUCAGAGGAAGCAACGGCUAACUCAGUGCCAGCAGCCGCGGUAAUACGGGGGGUGCAAGCGUUGUUCGGAAUCAUUGGGCGUAAAGCGCGCGCAGGCGGCUUGGUACGUCAGAUGUGAAAUCCCUGGGCUUAACCCAGGAAGUGCAUUUGAUACGGCCUCGCUAGAGUACGGGAGAGGAAAGUGGAAUUCCUGGUGUAGAGGUGAAAUUCGUAGAUAUCAGGAGGAACACCGGUGGCGAAGGCGACUUUCUGGCCCGAUACUGACGCUCAGGCGCGAAAGCGUGGGGAGCAAACA
This 428-nucleotide ribosomal RNA is filed under the name uncultured prokaryote. RNAcentral describes it as "bacterial SSU rRNA". It matches the Rfam family "Bacterial small subunit ribosomal RNA", at positions 355 to 774 of the family's 1533-position model. The record is from RNAcentral.